GAUGAACGCUGGCGGCGUGCCUAAUACAUGCAAGUCGAGCGAACAGACGAGGAGCUUGCUCCUCUGACGUUAGCGGCGGACGGGUGAGUAACACGUGGAUAACCUACCUAUAAGACUGGGAUAACUUCGGGAAACCGGAGCUAAUACCGGAUAACAUGUUGAACCGCAUGGUUCAACAGUGAAAGACGGUCUUGCUGUCACUUAUAGAUGGAUCCGCGCCGCAUUAGCUAGUUGGUAAGGUAACGGCUUACCAAGGCAACGAUGCGUAGCCGACCUGAGAGGGUGAUCGGCCACACUGGAACUGAGACACGGUCCAGACUCCUACGGGAGGCAGCAGUAGGGAAUCGGACGCAAUGGGCGAAAGCCUGACGGAGCAACGCCGCGUGAGUGAAGAAGGUCUUCGGAUCGUAAAACUCUGUUAUUAGGGAAGAACAAAUGUGGAAGUAACUAUGCACGUCUUGACGGUACCUAAUCAGAAAGCCACGGCUAACUACGUG
This 497-nucleotide ribosomal RNA is filed under the name uncultured bacterium. RNAcentral's name for it is "partial 16S ribosomal RNA". It matches the Rfam family "Bacterial small subunit ribosomal RNA", at positions 28 to 507 of the family's 1533-position model. The record is from RNAcentral.